CCCCCCGGUGCUGUGGAUUUGCUGCCCGAAGACCGUUAGGAGCAGGCAGGAUGAAUGGGAUUGAAUGGGAUUGUAAUGCACAAGGCCCUCCUCCUUUCUCAAGGAGCUGGGAGGCCAGGAAAGCGAGUCGCGGGAGAGCAGGCGGCUUUCUUACACAUAGGAAGAGGCUUUGCAAAUCAGCAAAUUGCAUAUUUYGAGGGAAGAGGGGAGGGAGGGGAUUUAUUUAUUUUUUUAUUACAGAUCCGAGAAAAAAAAAUGCAGCAGCCAAGAAGACCAAAAGGAGACAGAGGGAGAAAAACAGGGAGAGGAGACUUGAUAGGAAAAUCUGAUUCCCAAACCUCUUUCCGCAGCUAGCCAAACACGGCCCACCAGCYGCUCUUUUCACAAAACGUUACGUGGAGGCAGUUUUCCCCUCGGCCCGGCAGAGCUCGCGGAAGGGAGACGCCGUCCACAGCACCAUUGUUUUGGCGGAGCGGGGCAGGGACGAGACCUCUCCUGCAGCGGUUGUCACCCAGCUGUCCRGGAACUGCUCACGCUGCUGCGGUGAGGGAGAGACUUUGGGCUGCAACAAGAACGUCUCCCAUCGAAACGACCGUCCCUGCCUCCCCCUCCUCAUCCCCUUCCUAAGAAGAAGUAAAACACCACGGUGCCAGGAAAUGCACACACGCAACCCARCCCUCGCCCGAAAGCCAGUCUGCGCCGAGAACGCGUAGUGCUGCCGGCCRUACAAGUUGCUCUAGAUGGAAAAUCAGGUCGUGCAGAAACCCACCGGCUUGCGCUUCCCGUCAUAAAAUCAGUGUGUGCGUGUGUGUGCGUGUGUACACACACUGCAUGUGCGCGUGUUUGGCGGGGGGAGGCAUAAAUAAUUAGGCAGCGACGGAGAAGCGCCUCGCUUACCGAAAAAUUAAACACACGCAAGGCUUCAAAGUAAGAUCUCCCCUAGCCGGACAUCGUCUGAUGGUCCUUAAAUACAUUUUCUCUCCCCAGAGAUGAAAUCCUGUGACUCUAGGUAAAUAAAUAAAUAAAUGACGGCGCUCA
This 1038-nucleotide long non-coding RNA is filed under the name Dromaius novaehollandiae (emu). RNAcentral describes it as "lncRNA (ENSDNVG00000014915.1)". The record is from RNAcentral. Lineage: Eukaryota; Metazoa; Chordata; Aves; Casuariiformes; Dromaiidae.